This is a small nucleolar RNA of Chinchilla lanigera (long-tailed chinchilla), 78 nucleotides long. The record is from Ensembl. Lineage: Eukaryota; Metazoa; Chordata; Mammalia; Rodentia; Chinchillidae.
AACCGAUGAUGUGAUGAUUCUGCCAAAUGAAGUAAAGUGAUAUCACCUAAAAAGCCGUUCCAUUUUGAUUCUGAGGUU